RNAcentral lists this ribosomal RNA (52 nucleotides) under Achrophyllum dentatum. Its description in RNAcentral is "partial 26S ribosomal RNA". The record is from RNAcentral. Lineage: Eukaryota; Viridiplantae; Streptophyta; Bryopsida; Hookeriales; Daltoniaceae.
GCGAUCGGAGACCUCUAAUCGGAAAAGACUACCCGCUGAGUUUAAGCAUAUC